ACUCCUACGGGAGGCAGCAGUGGGGAAUAUUGCACAAUGGGCGCAAGCCUGAUGCAGCCAUGCCGCGUGUGUGAAGAAGGCCUUCGGGUUGUAAAGCACUUUCAGUCGUGAGGAAGGUAGUGUAGUUAAUAGCUGCAUUAUUUGACGUUAGCGACAGAAGAAGCACCGGCUAACUCCGUGCCAGCAGCCGCGGUAAUACGGAGGGUGCGAGCGUUAAUCGGAAUUACUGGGCGUAAAGCGCAUGCAGGUGGUUUGUUAAGUCAGAUGUGAAAGCCCGGGGCUCAACCUCGGAAUAGCAUUUGAAACUGGCAGACUAGAGUACUGUAGAGGGGGGUAGAAUUUCAGGUGUAGCGGUGAAAUGCGUAGAGAUCUGAAGGAAUACCAGUGGCGAAGGCGGCCCCCUGGACAAAGACUGACGCUCAGAUGCGAAAGCGUGGGGAGCAAACAGGUUUAGAUACCCUGGUAGCACAGAG
Molecule: ribosomal RNA, 473 nt
Filed under: uncultured bacterium
Lineage: Bacteria
Description: bacterial SSU rRNA
Rfam family: Bacterial small subunit ribosomal RNA
Source: RNAcentral